Molecule: non-coding RNA, 178 nt
Organism: Marinomonas sp. S3726
Lineage: Bacteria; Pseudomonadati; Pseudomonadota; Gammaproteobacteria; Oceanospirillales; Oceanospirillaceae
Rfam family: 6S / SsrS RNA
About the family: E. coli 6S RNA was the first non coding RNA to be sequenced, but its function was unknown until recently.
Source: Rfam
CGUUUCCUGGGUUGUACGAAUCGGCUUAACGCCCUUGAGCCUAUGAGUAUACUCCUGGAAAGAGUCUGUGGGUUUGGUGUGCAUGUCCGUGCGUCGGAAAGCCUUAAAAAUCUCGAUUCUUUCCUCCUUGAACCACUGGGUUCAAGGCCUAUAGUCGGUGCGGCAACUUGGGAAACCC